AUUCUACUCAUUGUAUUCUUCAAUCCUCAGAUGUCAACUCAGGAAGGAGCUGAGAGAGAUGGGAUUGGGUACAAGAACUGAAUCUCCAGGUUUACCUUUUGUUUGGAAAUUGACCUUCUAGAUUGGAAUGCAGUGAUUAAGAAAGAGGAGCAUUGAUGAAAUGAAUUAGCUGUGCAAACCCGAUGACCUGAUGACCCGAGUUUGAUUCCAGGAAUCCACAGUGGAAAGAGAGAAUUAACUCGCUCACAAGCUUUUCCUUUAACCUCCACAUGUGAGCAAUAGACCAUGCACACUGAAAAGCUCUUAAACACACAUUUUACACUUGGAUACACGCUCAACAAAUAAAUUUUUUUUUAAAACUUAAAA
This is a long non-coding RNA of Mus musculus (house mouse), 366 nucleotides long. RefSeq annotates it as predicted gene, 52513. The record is from RefSeq and is marked validated. NCBI's taxonomy places the organism in Eukaryota, Metazoa, Chordata, Mammalia, Rodentia, Muridae. The transcript has 3 exons.